Molecule: long non-coding RNA, 1766 nt
Organism: Vulpes vulpes (red fox)
Lineage: Eukaryota; Metazoa; Chordata; Mammalia; Carnivora; Canidae
Source: Ensembl
UCACGGGGGUGGGGUGGGGGGUGGGGUGUUCCUGUGUGCCAGAGCUGGGCGUCCUGGUUCUGUGUUCCAGCAGCUCCCCCACCCCGAGUUACAUGUCACAGCACCCUUGUGAACCGAGAUUUUCCAGCCUUUCCCAGUGCACAGGCCAGCUGACGCCUUCCUUGGCAUGAGGCCCCACCUGCAUGGGCCUUGCCUCCCGGGCGAGCCUGGAUGACUCACUGAUGCUCCAGCGCUGAGGGCCUCCUGUAUGGCAGCCCCAUAUGCCUGGCCACAGAGCAGUUCUGCCUGAGACCAUCCCUAGCACCCUUGUUUUCUUUAAUUUUUUUUAAAGAUUUUAUUUAUUCAUGAGAGACACAGAGAGAGAGGCAGAAACAUAGGCAGAGAGCGAAGCAGGCCCCAUGCAGGAACCCGAUGUGGGACUCGAUCCCGGGUCUCCAGGAUCACGCCCUGAGCUGAAGGCAGCCAGAUGUCCCUAGCAUCCUUGUUUUCUUUAUCUUGACUUCACUUAUCUCAGGUCACAAGUAGAGAGUGACAAGGCCAGAGACCCUCUCUUGGGUUUGGUGUGCCUCUGACCACCCCGCCAGGAGCCUCCUUUGAUUUUAUGGAUUUCGAGUGAGAACCACUGUACCAGCCAAGGAAGGCCAUCAGUCAUGGACCCCUGGAACCAGUGGAUCCCCCAAACCAAUGAUAGGAGUUUGGGGAGGCAGGGGUGUGGCUCCUUUGGUGGAUCAAAAGCAGAGGAAGAAAGAUUUCCUUGGGGACCUGGGAGAAGCCAGGUUGCUAGUUGUUGUCCAUGGCAAAUAGACCACUGCCCUCCUCUGGAUAGAAUCAGAGGUACCCCAUCCUCCUCAACACCCCCCCACCAUCCCUACUAUGGAGCACUUUUAUUUUUUCUUGGUAGAAUGGGAAGCACCUUUCUUUCUUUCUUUUUUUUUUAAUUUUUAUUUAUUUAUGAUAGUCACACAGAGAGAGAGAGAGAGGCAGAGACAUAGGCAGAGGGAGAAGCAGGCUCCAUGCACCGGGAGCCCGACGUGGGAUUCGAUCCUGGGUCUCCAGGAUCGCGCCCUAGGCCAAAGGCAGGUGCCAAGCCGCUGCGCCACCCAGGGAUCCCGGGAAGCACCUUUCAAGCUUAUUUGUGAACCUUCCAAUCACAGCACCAUUGGGCAUCCGAGACCCAAGAAUCGCUUUUGUGUUUUUCCAGGAGAGGGAAAUGAGAUCACUUGUCAAGAAAUGUACAUUUUCUCAGAAGACCUUGAUGCCAUGGAAGCAGCAAGGCACAAAACCAUAAAUGACGGACGGCUGAAGCACAUGGGCUCAGAGCUUAAGCUCCUUCUUCCUGAACGUUCGCCUGCUUCUGCCACGAGGCUGGAGUGGACAGUCUCAACCUCCCAGGGACUCCGCAGUGCUCCGUCUGCGCAGGUCAGGAAACAGGCUCAGAAUGAGGAACAGCUGAUCCGAGUUCACGGAACGACAGAGGAUGGCGAGGCCGCACCUGAAGCCGCCAGUCCACGUGUUAGCUCCUGGACCGUGUCACCUGCCGUCCACCACCGCGGCAGCAGAGAGGCCCCCUCAUUCCUGCGCCUGACUCCAGAGGAACCUGGGCCUUAUCCCAGGGAGGCCUAGCGGACCACCCAAACGGCCACCAAAAUGGUUUAGGGUGAAGAUCAGGACCUGGCCUGAAAAACAGGAGGCGGCGUUGGGCUCUGGCUGGCUGGGACUGUCAGGGCCUGGGCCGAAGCUCUGUUCGCGGUCCUGGCGGGGGCGGG